AACGUAGGUGGCGAGCGUUAUCCGGAUUUACUGGGCGUAAAGGGUGUGCAGGCGGGCUGUUAAGUGGGGUGUGAAAUAUCCCGGCUCAACCGGGAGAGGUUAUGCCAGACUGGCAGUCUAGAGAGCGAGAGAGGGACGUGGAAUUCCGGGUGUAGUGGUGAAAUGCGUAGAGAUCCGGAGGAACCCCAGAGGCGAAGGCGGCGUCCUGGCUCGCAUCUGACGCUCAGACACGACAGCAUGGGGAGCGAACGGG
RNAcentral lists this ribosomal RNA (253 nucleotides) under uncultured bacterium. RNAcentral's name for it is "partial 16S ribosomal RNA". It matches the Rfam family "Bacterial small subunit ribosomal RNA", at positions 524 to 776 of the family's 1533-position model. The record is from RNAcentral.